UUCAGUUAGUGGACUAUGUUCGACAAUACUGGUUAACAACAGUAUGUUUAUCUAGUUUUACUGUUUAUAGUGUAAACAUCCUUACCAAUAAUUAUGUAGAAAGUUUUCAGAGCAUGCUAAAGUCCACCAUAGGCCUACAUCCCCCAGUCUGGUCCUUUUACGGUAAUUUAUUUUUAUAAUAAUUUAUAAUUGACAAUAAUUAGAAUGUUGAUUGAUUUUUAAUAAUAUUUUGCAGAUCGAUUACGUUCCAACUUCCAUUGAAAGUAGAAUACAGAGGGAAACCUUACAAAACAAACAAUCAACGGCCAGAGAGUACGAAGAUCAAUUGUGUCUAGCAGAGACACAAAUAACUGAAUUUUGGCUGAUGCUCAACAAAGCGUACGCUAUGGCCGCUAUGACUCAAUGGCUCGAUUAAGAAGAGUUUCCUACU
Molecule: long non-coding RNA, 430 nt
Organism: Myzus persicae (green peach aphid)
Lineage: Eukaryota; Metazoa; Arthropoda; Insecta; Hemiptera; Aphididae
Exons: 2
Source: RefSeq, a predicted model, not a curated record